GGCCUAYGGGGCGCAGCAGGCGAGAAAACUUUGCAAUGUGCGAAAGCACGACAAGGUUAAUCCGAGUGUUUUCUGCUAAAGAAAUCUUUUGUUAGU
Molecule: ribosomal RNA, 96 nt
Filed under: uncultured marine group I thaumarchaeote
Lineage: Archaea; Thermoproteati; Nitrososphaerota
Description: partial 16S ribosomal RNA
Rfam family: Archaeal small subunit ribosomal RNA
Source: RNAcentral